Molecule: non-coding RNA, 766 nt
Organism: Pelobates cultripes (western spadefoot toad)
Lineage: Eukaryota; Metazoa; Chordata; Amphibia; Anura; Pelobatidae
Source: the annotation of a GenBank genome assembly
AGACAAUACAUGUGGGAUUUAAGUUAGCUGCAAAAAUACAUACCUGCAUUCACACAUGGGCCUACAUGCAUAUUUUUCCCCUGAAUUAAAUACCCAUCACACACAUCCAAUAAUCCCAGCACAAAUUUCACAAACAGCCAGUGAAAUAUAUGCUUACAUAUAUCACACACAGUCAAUACACCCAUCACAAAUAUCACACAGCUAGCACAUAGCAUACAUAUCACACACAGACAUUACGCCUCUCACACACAUUUAAUAAAUCCCCUAUAUAAACACUACACCCCUUUACAUACACUAUCCAUAAAUGAAGGGGUAUGACCGGGAAGCGGUGCUGUGGCGAUUUGUUUUGCAUAGGGCGCCCUAAGGCCGACCCUGGCUGCGGUAAUGCUCUAAUAGAGUAGAAGGAAUGGAGAACUUAGUCUGUAAGACCAAUUUCUUCCUGUUACCCCUCUGUAUCAGUGGCUGCAGCCAUCGUUAUGGCUUGACUUGAGGAGGUGAGGGACUGAGGCACUUAAAGUCAUCCCUAUUACCAGGGAACACCGGGCUUGUCAGGAGACCCUUUUAUCUCUGUGCCAGCACUCUGACUGCAUUAGGGUGUGCCUAGGUACACCUAUGCUGCUAAUCGAGAUAAAAAUUUAAGAGCUUGAUCUCAUUUUUAUAGCGUCCUGUGUGGGAGGAGGGGGAGAACCAAACAAAAACAACUCAACUGUCUUGGCACUCAAUACGUUACCCAUGGAAAACAAACAAUACAUAUUCUAUGAGUCUG